GAUGAACGCUGGCGGCGUGCCUAAUACAUGCAAGUCGAGCGAACGGACGAGAAGCUUGCUUCUCUGAUGUUAGCGGCGGACGGGUGAGUAACACGUGGAUAACCUACCUAUAAGACUGGGAUAACUUCGGGAAACCGGAGCUAAUACCGGAUAAUAUUUUGAACCGCAUGGUUCAAAAGUGAAAGACGGUCUUGCUGUCACUUAUAGAUGGAUCCGCGCUGCAUUAGCUAGUUGGUAAGGUAACGGCUUACCAAGGCAACGAUGCAUAGCCGACCUGAGAGGGUGAUCGGCCACUCUGGAAGUGAGACACGGUCCAGACUCCUACGGGAGGCAGCGGUAGGGAAUCUUCCGCGAUGGGCGAAAGCCUGACGGAGCAACGCAGCGUGAGUGAUGAAGGGCUUCGGAUCGUAAAACUCUGUUAUUAGGGAAGAACAUAUGUGUAGUAACUGUGCACAUCUUGACGGUACCUAAUCAGAAAGCCACGGCUAACUACGUG
RNAcentral lists this ribosomal RNA (496 nucleotides) under uncultured bacterium. RNAcentral's name for it is "partial 16S ribosomal RNA". It matches the Rfam family "Bacterial small subunit ribosomal RNA", at positions 28 to 507 of the family's 1533-position model. The record is from RNAcentral.